CCCUCAUGGACAGCAGUACACAUGCAUUUGUUGACAAGCUGAACUAUACAGAGCUAACCCAGGACAACAUCAGAAGUAGAACAUUUGGCCUGACAAGUUCUCUCACACAGGCAUCAGGAUUAGGCCACGCAUGUUUGAAAUGCAGAAAACGCCCAGCGCCGCUCCAGCCUGACACUGAGCGCUCAUGUGACGGCUAAGCUCCUGUAAUGCUCGCUGUGAAAGCGAAAUAAUAAUGCACUCAGACAGCGCAGCUCGUGGAAGUAUGUACUUGAAGGACGUGAGAAACAAACACACGCAGACUGACAUCCUCACCUCAAAGAAAGAAAACAGGAACAAGUCCUUAACCUAAGAAAGAAACCAUAGAAAGGAAGAAAACAGGAAGGAGUCUAUGACAUGAGCAGACAAGGCACGUGUGCACCUUUACCUGAAUCUGCCUAACAAAGAAAGUGUAUUAUCCACUGUCUUACUGUAAA
RNAcentral lists this long non-coding RNA (473 nucleotides) under Astyanax mexicanus (Mexican tetra). Its description in RNAcentral is "lncRNA (ENSAMXG00005023289.1)". The record is from RNAcentral. Lineage: Eukaryota; Metazoa; Chordata; Actinopteri; Characiformes; Acestrorhamphidae.